RNAcentral lists this transfer RNA (54 nucleotides) under Madisonia carrisii. RNAcentral describes it as "Pabstiella carrisii partial tRNA-Thr". The record is from RNAcentral. Lineage: Eukaryota; Viridiplantae; Streptophyta; Magnoliopsida; Asparagales; Orchidaceae.
GUAGAGUACACCAUGGUAAGGCGUAAGUCAUCGGUUCAAAUCCGAUAAAGGGCU